RNAcentral lists this ribosomal RNA (237 nucleotides) under uncultured bacterium. RNAcentral's name for it is "partial 16S ribosomal RNA". It matches the Rfam family "Bacterial small subunit ribosomal RNA", at positions 118 to 351 of the family's 1533-position model. The record is from RNAcentral.
UGAGUAACCUGCCCUUGACUCUGGGAUAAGCCUGGGAAACCGGGUCUAAUACCGGAUAUGACUGCCGGCCGCAUGGCCUGGUGGUGGAAAGCUUUAUUGCGGUUUUGGAUGGACUCGCGGCCUAUCAGCUUGUUGGCGGGGUAAUGGCCCACAAGGCGACGACGGGUAGCCGGCCUGAGAGGGUGACCGGGCCACACUGGGACUGAGACACGGCCCAGACCUCCGUACGGGAGGCAG